UGGGGAAUAUUGCACAAUGGGGGAAACCCUGAUGCAGCGACGCCGCGUGAACGAAGAAGGUAUUCGUAUCGUAAAGUUCUGUCCUAUGGGAAGAUAAUGACAGUACCAUAGAAGAAAGCUCCGGCUAAAUACGUGCCAGCAGCCGCUGUAAUACGUAUGGAGCGAGCGUUGUCCGGAAUUAUUGGGCGUAAAGGGUACGCAGGCGGUUUAAUAAGUCGAAUGUUAAAGAUCGGGGCUCAACCCCGCAAAGCAUUGGAAACUGAUAAACUUGAGUAGUGGAGAGGAAAGUGGAAUUCCUAGUGUAGUGGUGAAAUACGUAGAUAUUAGGAGGAAUACCAGUAGCGAAGGCGACUUUCUGGACACAAACUGACGCUGAGGUACGAAAGCGUGGGGAGCAAACAGG
This 403-nucleotide ribosomal RNA is filed under the name bacterium. RNAcentral's name for it is "partial 16S ribosomal RNA". It matches the Rfam family "Bacterial small subunit ribosomal RNA", at positions 355 to 776 of the family's 1533-position model. The record is from RNAcentral.